GGAAGUAAAAGCGUAACAAGGUUUCCGUAGGUGAACCUGCGGAAGGAUCAUUAAAGUUAUAGUCCCCCGGCCCUCUGGGCUGGGGUCUUCUAUACCACCCUUUGUUUAUUACACCUUUGUUGCUUUGGCAGGCCUGCCCUCGGGCUGCUGGCUCCGGCCGGCUCGCGUCUGCCAGAGGACCUAAACUCUGUUUGUAUAUGAAGUCUGAGUACUAUAUAAUAGUUAAAACUUUCAACAACGGAUCUCUUGGUUCUG
This 255-nucleotide unclassified non-coding RNA is filed under the name plant metagenome. Its description in RNAcentral is "partial contains small subunit ribosomal RNA, internal transcribed spacer 1, and 5.8S ribosomal RNA". The stretch from base 1 to 53 matches the Rfam family "Eukaryotic small subunit ribosomal RNA", at positions 1778 to 1831 of the family's 1831-position model. The record is from RNAcentral.